AGGCUUAGGUCUCGUUGGUGACCAGCGGAGGGAUCAUUACCGAGUUUUCAACUCCCUAACCCUUCUGUGAACCUACCUAUCGUUGCUUCGGCGGACUCGCCCCAGCCCGGACGCGGACUGGACCAGCGGCCCGCCGGGGACCUCAAACUCUUGUAUUCCAGCAUCUUCUGAAUACGCCGCAAGGCAAAACAAAUGAAUCAAAACUUUCAACAACGGAUCUCUUGGCUCUGGCAUCGAUGAAGAACGCAGCGAAACGCGAUAAGUAAUGUGAAUUGCAGAAUCCAGUGAAUCAUCGAAUCUUUGAACGCACAUUGCGCCCGCCAGCAUUCUGGCGGGCAUGCCUGUUCGAGCGUCAUUUCAACCCUCGACCUCCCCUUGGGGGGGUCGGCGUUGGGGACCGGCAGCACACCGCCGGCCCUGAAAUGGAGUGGCGGCCCGUCCGCGGCGACCUCUGCGCAGUAAUACAGCUCGCACCGGAACCCCGACGCGGCCACGCCGUAAAACACCCAACUUCUGAACGUUGACCUCGAAUCAGGUAGGACUACCCGCUGAACUUAAGCAUAUCAAUAAGCGGAGGAA
Molecule: ribosomal RNA, 579 nt
Filed under: Beauveria bassiana
Lineage: Eukaryota; Fungi; Ascomycota; Sordariomycetes; Hypocreales; Cordycipitaceae
Description: eukaryotic LSU rRNA
Rfam family: 5.8S ribosomal RNA (bases 202-355)
Source: RNAcentral